This is a long non-coding RNA of Telopea speciosissima, 187 nucleotides long. RefSeq lists it as uncharacterized. The transcript has 3 exons. NCBI's taxonomy places the organism in Eukaryota, Viridiplantae, Streptophyta, Magnoliopsida, Proteales, Proteaceae. The record is from RefSeq and is a predicted model, not a curated record.
CAGACAAAACUGAAAAGUGAAAAAGCAGUCGUAAUUCCAGCAAAUCCCACUCCAUAGAAGAAACCCUGGUUAGUAUUUAGUACCCGAUCUUGAGCUCAGAGAUCCCAUCUUUGAAUGCUUUGAAGUAUCUUUUAUUUCUACUCAAUCCGUUGACAAGCUCAAAAGUUUCAGUUGCAGAGGUCAAGAU